Molecule: ribosomal RNA, 275 nt
Filed under: uncultured bacterium
Lineage: Bacteria
Description: partial 16S ribosomal RNA
Rfam family: Bacterial small subunit ribosomal RNA
Source: RNAcentral
CCUACGGGUGGCUGCAGUUGGGAAUCUUGCACAAUGGGGGAAACCCUGAUGCAGCGACGCCGCGUGGAGGACGAAGGGUCUAGGCCUGUAAACUCCUUUUCCCCGGAAAGACUUAGGACGGUACCGGGGGAAUAAGCACCGGCUAACUACGUGCCAGCAGCCGCGGUAAGACGUAGGGUGCAAGCGUUGUCCGGAUUUACUGGGCGUAAAGAGCGCGUAGGCGGCCCGUUAAGUGUGAAGUGAAAUCCCCAGGGCUCAACCCGGGAACUGCUUCG